Molecule: ribosomal RNA, 253 nt
Filed under: uncultured bacterium
Lineage: Bacteria
Description: partial 16S ribosomal RNA
Rfam family: Bacterial small subunit ribosomal RNA
Source: RNAcentral
UACGGGGGGGGCAAGCGUUGUUCGGAAUUACUGGGCGUAAAGGGUCUGUAGGUGGCUUGCUAAGUCAGACGUGAAACCCCUCAGCUUAACUGGGGAACUGCGUCUGAGACUGGCGAGCUUGAGGGCAGGAGAGGAACGCGGAAUUCCAGGUGUAGCGGUGAAAUGCGUAGAUAUCUGGAGGAACACCGGUGGCGAAGGCGGCGUUCUGGACUGCAUCUGACACUGAAAGACGAAAGCCAGGGGAGCAAACGGG